Long non-coding RNA from Etheostoma spectabile (orangethroat darter), 146 nucleotides. RefSeq lists it as uncharacterized. NCBI's taxonomy places the organism in Eukaryota, Metazoa, Chordata, Actinopteri, Perciformes, Percidae. The transcript is spliced from 3 exons. The record is from RefSeq and is a predicted model, not a curated record.
UGAUCUAUUUCUGCUUGCUACCAGCUAUGCUGUUUUUUCUCUAUCACCUCUUGUGUCAAGGAUGAGGGGAAGAUAAACAAAGCUAAUAUAUAAAGAUGUUCUUGAGUACACUACUUUACUUUUUUUUUUGAUCUCUUACUUUUCCU